AACUGUCUAGGGGCUCAAACCUAAAGAACCCAAAUAUCUAAACGGAGAAAUUCAAUACUACCGUUAAAACGUAGUGUGCACUUUUCUCUUAGUAAGACGCCGUGAUCCAUUAGAAAUUGAUACAUNCAAAAUGUAUAUUGGGUCAUCAAAAGGCCAGCAUGAAGUUUAUUGGAACAAAUGGCAUAAUCUUUUACGGUUGUGUGUAUUGUCUGGUAAGCAUGUUGUGUUUCCUGUAAUGACUGUCUGAUGGAUUUUAAAGACCUUGUAUAAUUGAUGUUACGGCAUCACUCAUUUGUGAGAUGAUUAUGCGAUUUUGUGUCUGAUCAACGGCGGUUCAAUUUGGGAUACCUUUUGG
Molecule: ribosomal RNA, 355 nt
Filed under: Chironomus sp. LRC-2002
Lineage: Eukaryota; Metazoa; Arthropoda; Insecta; Diptera; Chironomidae
Description: eukaryotic LSU rRNA
Source: RNAcentral